Molecule: unclassified non-coding RNA, 416 nt
Filed under: uncultured Sebacina
Lineage: Eukaryota; Fungi; Basidiomycota; Agaricomycetes; Sebacinales; Sebacinaceae
Description: sequence contains ITS2
Rfam family: 5.8S ribosomal RNA (bases 1-154)
Source: RNAcentral
AACUUUUAACAAUGGAUCUCUUGGCUCUCGCAUCGAUGAAGAACCCAACGAAAUGCGAUAAGUCAUGUGAAUUGCAGAAUUCAGUGAAUCAUCGAAUCUUUGAACGCACCUUGCACCCUUUGGCAUUCCGAAGGGUAUGCUCGUUUGAGUGUCAUUGUACUCUCACACUCCCGAUGCUUUUGGAUCGGGCGCGGUGGACUUGGGCGUUGCUGCUUUACUGUGGCUCGCCUCAAAUGGAGUAUUGCAACUCUUGGUUGGACAUAGUACGGCGUGAUAAGUGUCUUCGCCGGCGCCUCACUAGAGGGUGGCUGAUCGGGAGCUCUGUGCUUCAAACCGUCUUCGGACAACUCUGACAACUUGACCUCAAAUCGAGUAGGACUACCCGCUGAACUUAAGCAUAUCAAUAAGCGGAGGCU